AACGAACGCUGGCGGCAUGCCUAACACAUGCAAGUCGAACGAGACCUUCGGGUCUUGUGGCGCACGGGUUCGUAACGCGUGGGAACCUUCCCUUAGGUUUGGCAUACCUCUCCGAAAGGGGUGCUAAUACCGGAUCAUGUCUUCUGCCCAAGGAUUUAUCGCCUUUGGUUGGGCCCGCGUUGGAUUAGCUAGUUGGUAGGGUAAAAGCAUACCACGGCGACGAUCCAUAGCUGGUUAGAGAGAAUGGUGAGCCACACUGGGACUGAGACACGGCCCAGAAUCUUACGGGAUGGAGCAGAGGGGGAUAUUGGAAAAUGGGGGAAAGGAUGAACGAGCAAGGACGCGUGAGUGAUGAAGGCAGGAGAGAAGAAAAGCGUUAGUAACCGGGAUGAUAAUGACAGUACCGGGAGAAUAAGCCCCGGCUAACUACGUG
Molecule: ribosomal RNA, 433 nt
Filed under: uncultured bacterium
Lineage: Bacteria
Description: partial 16S ribosomal RNA
Rfam family: Bacterial small subunit ribosomal RNA
Source: RNAcentral